GAGUUUGAUCCUGGCUCAGGACGAACGCUGGCGGCGUGCUUAACACAUGCAAGUCGAACGGUAAGGCCCCAGCUUGCUGGGGUACACGAGUGGCGAACGGGUGAGUAACACGUGGGUGACCUGCCCCGCACUUCGGGAUAAGCCUGGGAAACUGGGUCUAAUACCGGAUAGGACCGCACCGUGAGGGUGUGGUGGAAAGUUUUUCGGUGUGGGAUGGGCCCGCGGCCUAUCAGCUUGUUGGUGGGGUAAUGGCCUACCAAGGCGGCGACGGGUAGCCGGCCUGAGAGGGUGGACGGCCACAUUGGGACUGAGACACGGCCCAGACUCCUACGGGAGGCAGCAGUGGGGAAUAUUGCACAAUGGGCGGAAGCCUGAUGCAGCGACGCCGCGUGGGGGAUGACGGCCUUCGGGUUGUAAACUCCUUUCACCAUCGACGAAGGUUUUCUGACGGUAGAUGGAGAAGAAGCACCGGCUAACUACGUGCCAGCAGCCGCGGUAAUACGUAGGGUGCGAGCGUUGUCCGGAAUUACUGGGCGUAAAGAGCUCGUAGGUGGUUUGUCGCGUCGUCUGUGAAAUUCCGGGGCUUAACUCCGGGCGUGCAGGCAAUACGGGCAUAACUUGGGUACUGUANGGGAGACUGGAAUUCCUGGUGUAGCGGUGAAAUGCGCAGAUACCAGGAGGAACACCGGUGGCGAAGGCGGGUCUCUGGGCAGUAACUGACGCUGAGGAGCGAAAGCAUGGGUAGCGAACAGGAUUAGAUACCCUGGUAGUCCAUGCCGUAAACGGUGGGCGCUAGGUGUAGGGGUCUUCCACGACUUCUGUGCCGUAGCUAACGCAUUAAGCGCCCCGCCUGGGGAGUACGGCCGCAAGGCUAAAACUCAAAGGAAUUGACGGGGGCCCGCACAAGCGGCGGAGCAUGUGGAUUAAUUCGAUGCAACGCGAAGAACCUUACCUGGGCUUGACAUAUACGGGACCGGGCCAGAGAUGGUCCUUCCCUUGUGGCUCGUAUACAGGUGGUGCAUGGUUGUCGUCAGCUCGUGUCGUGAGAUGUUGGGUUAAGUCCCGCAACGAGCGCAACCUUGUCUUAUGUUGCCAGCACGUAAUGGUGGGGACUCGUGAGAAACUGCCGGGGUCAACUCGGAGGAAGGUGGGGAUGACGUCAAAUCAUCAUGCCCCUUAUGUCCAGGGCUUCACACAUGCUACAAUGGUCGGUACAGUGGGUUGCGAUGCCGUGAGGUGGAGCUAAUCCCUGAAAGCCGGUCUCAGUUCGGAUCGGGGUCUGCAACUCGACCCCGUGAAGUCGGAGUCGCUAGUAAUCGCAGAUCAGCAACGCUGCGGUGAAUACGUUCNCCGGGCCUUGUACACACCGCCCGUC
This 1375-nucleotide ribosomal RNA is filed under the name uncultured bacterium. RNAcentral describes it as "bacterial SSU rRNA". It matches the Rfam family "Bacterial small subunit ribosomal RNA". The record is from RNAcentral.